RNAcentral lists this ribosomal RNA (695 nucleotides) under uncultured bacterium. RNAcentral describes it as "bacterial SSU rRNA". It matches the Rfam family "Bacterial small subunit ribosomal RNA", at positions 32 to 715 of the family's 1533-position model. The record is from RNAcentral.
AACGCUAGCUACAGGCUUAACACAUGCAAGUCGAGGGGAACGACAUCGAAAGCUUGCUUUUGAUGGGCGUCGACCGGCGCACGGGUGAGUAACGCGUAUCCAACCUGCCCAUCACUUGGGAAUAACCUUGCGAAAGUAAGACUAAUGCCCAAUGAUAUCCCACGAAGGCAUCCGAAUGGGAUUAAAGAUUUAUCGGUGAUGGAUGGGGAUGCGUCUGAUUAGCUUGUUGGCGGGGUAACGGCCCACCAAGGCAACGAUCAGUAGGGGUUCUGAGAGGAAGGUCCCCCACAUUGGAACUGAGACACGGUCCAAACUCCUACGGGAGGCAGCAGUGAGGAAUAUUGGUCAAUGGGCGAGAGCCUGAACCAGCCAAGUAGCGUGCAGGAAGACGGCCCUAUGGGUUGCAAACUGCUUUUAUAAGGGAAUAAAGUGAGUCUCGUGAGACUUUUUGCAUGUACCUUAUGAAUAAGGACCGGCUAAUUCCGUGCCAGCAGCCGCGGUAAUACGGAAGGUCCGGGCGUUAUCCGGAUUUAUUGGGUUUAAAGGGAGCGUAGGCCGGAGAUUAAGCGUGUUGUGAAAUGUAGAGGCUCAACCUCUGCACUGCAGCGCGAACUGGUCUUCUUGAGUACGCACAACGUGGGCGGAAUUCGUGGUGUAGCGGUGAAAUGCUUAGAUAUCACGAAGAACUCCGAUUG